RNAcentral lists this ribosomal RNA (253 nucleotides) under uncultured bacterium. Its description in RNAcentral is "partial 16S ribosomal RNA". It matches the Rfam family "Bacterial small subunit ribosomal RNA", at positions 524 to 776 of the family's 1533-position model. The record is from RNAcentral.
UACGUAGGGGGCAAGCGUCGUCCGGAUUGACUGGGCGUAAAGAGAGCGUAGGCGGUUUUGUAAGUCAAAUGUGAAAGCCUGUGGCUUAACCACAGAAAUGCAUUUGAUACUGCAUAACUUGAGUUCAGGAGAGGUAAGUAGAAUUCCUAGUGUAGCGGUGGAAUGCGUAGAUAUUAGGAGGAAUACCAGUUGCGAAGGCGGCUUACUGGAAUGACACUGACGCUGAGGCUCGAAAGCGUGGGGAGCAAACAGG